This 249-nucleotide ribosomal RNA is filed under the name uncultured archaeon. Its description in RNAcentral is "partial 16S ribosomal RNA". It matches the Rfam family "Bacterial small subunit ribosomal RNA", at positions 528 to 776 of the family's 1533-position model. The record is from RNAcentral.
AACCGUACGAACGUUAUUCGGAAUUACUGGGCUUAAAGGGUGCGUAGGCUGCACGGAAAGUUGGGUGUGAAAGCCCUCAGCUCAACUGAGGAAUUGCAUCCAAAACUGCCGUGCUAGAGGGAGACAGAGGUGAGCGGAACUCAAGGUGGAGCGGUGAAAUGCGUUGAUAUCUUGAGGAACACCGGUGGCGAAAGCGGCUCACUGGGUCUCUUCUGACGCUGAGGCACGAAAGCUAAGGUAGCAAACGGG